ACUCUGCUGGGCACAGACACACACACACACCCAGAUGUAACCGUGGUACCGAUUGAUUACAGUCCCCAGGUGAUGGUUUGUGAUCCUCACACAUUUGAUGAGGUGAAGAAAUGAAGCGCAUACAUAUAUACAGUAUAUAUAUAUAUAUAUAUAAGCUAGAUAGAUAGAUAGAUAUAUGAUGAUAUAUAUAUAUACAUAUAUAUAUAUAUAUAUAUAGAGGAGGAAGAGACCUGAUGAAGGCUCUGAGCUCUGUUCCCUCAAAACAUGGUCACCAGACGUCAAAAUGAAGCUGACCUCUGACACUGGAGCAGAUUACUGCUUCUCCUUUUGUCUUCAAAGCAAAGGAGCAAAUAGAACACCAGCAUCUUUUUAAGGAAGACAGACUGGUUCAGUGAUUACGGAGAAUUAGCCUCAUGUGACCUCUUAAGUCCACACUAGUUCACCUCUUCUUCACCCGUAACUACUAAGAUUUAUUUGACCGAUGGAAGAAGCAUCGAGAUCCGUUUAUCAAUAUUUUAUAUUAACAUUAUUAAUAUAUCAGUCUGAUGAUAACAAGCCUCCGAGGACCUGAAUCAAUACUUACAGGGUUUCAGGGAAGAGGAGGAUACAAGUCUAGAGUCUAAAAGCCUAGAGUCUACUGGUUCUGAGUCUACACUUCUGUCUAGAGCCUACAAGUAUAAGACCUACAAGUCUGGAGCCUACAAGUCUAGAGCCUACAAGUAUAAGACCUACAAGUCUGGAGCCUACAGGUCUAGAGCCUACAAGUCUAGGACCUAAAAAUCUAACACCUACAAGUCCAAGACCUACAAAUAUAGAGCCUACAAGUCUAGAGCCUACAGGUCUAGAGCCUACAAGUCUAGGACCUAAAAAUCUAACACCUACAAGUCCAAGACCUACAAAUAUAGAGCCUACAAGUCUAGAGCCUACAAAUCUAGAGCCUACAAGUAUAGAACCUACAAGUCUAGAGCCUACAAGAAUAGAGCCUACAAUCUAGAGCCUACAAGUCUAGAACCUACAAGGCUAGAGUCUACAAGUCUAGAGCCUACAAGUCUAGACCCUACAAAUCUAGAGCCUACAAGACUAGAGCCUACAAGUCUAGAGCCUACAAACUAGAGCCUACAAGUCUAGAGCCUACAAGUCUAGACCCUACAAAUCUAGAGCCUACAAGUCUAGAGCCUACAAGUCUAGAGCCUACAAACUAGAGCCUACAAGUCUAGAACCUACAAGGAUAGAGUCUACAAGUCUAGAGCCUACAAGUCUAGAGCCUACAAAUCUAGAGCCUACAAGACUAGAGCCUACAAAUCUAGAGCGUACAAGUCAAGGACCAACAAGUCUAGAGCCAUCAAGUCUAAAACCCACAAGUCUAAAACCUACAGGUCUAGAGCCUACAAGUCUUGGACCUACAAGUCUAGGACCUACAAGUCUAGAGCCUACAAGUCUAGAGCCUACAAGUCUAGGACCUACAAGUCUAGAACCUACAAGUCUAGGACCUACAAGUCUAGGACCUACAAGUCUAGAGCCUACAAGUCUAGGACCUACAAGUGGAGCCUGCAGGUCUAGAGGUCUGACAGUCUUUGACGGAUUAAUACUGAGAUAAUAAUUUGUUGUCUGGCGGGAACAGCAGGAAUCCAGCGAUAAUAUAAUAAUGAGUAUAAUAACAACUGGAUCUACUGUUUAAGAGUCACAUGAUCUGAACAAAGAAUAAUAAUGCAGGUAUAAAUAAGGGAGGACGUGGUAAGAAAUAAAGCGUCGCGUUACACAUGCUGACUUCCCUCCACAUGAAUUAUUGAGCGACUCCUCUGCUUUGUCGACUACUACACAUCCAAGUGAGCAGAAUGCACCAUUCAUAAAAACAACGCACACACACACACACACACACACACACACCUGGAGUGGAACAAUGGUGUUGUAUAAAAGAAAUAAAUAAAGAGCACAUGCUUCCUCUGGUUCUGCAGCUACAGACUCACAUGAAGGAGAUCAAUGCUUUUCUGCAGGUCUGUGUACUUACCGUCUGAAGCUGUGUGUGUGAGUGUGUGUGAGUGUGUGUGUGUGUGAGAGAGCCCUCGCUCUGGCUAUUGUUAUGAGGAGAAGGAAGCCGCACUGAGCAUGCUCAGACGUGAGCAACCCUUGUGGUUGGCAUAGCAACCAGAAAGCGGCAGCAGACGGAGCAAAGGGCAGCAGGUGCUUCUGCUGCAUCGUCGCGCUCCAAACUUGAUUAAUCCCCGAAUCCGGACUACGAGGCGGAGCCUCAACGAGACCCGGAUCGUGAAGCGAUCAAAUGGGACUUUGGGCGACAUAUAAAACGUUUGUGAGUCGUUUCUUGGAGAUGACUUGGUGAAAGUCAAAGCGUGACCAGCAGGGGGCGACUCCUCUGCUCCCAUAGACGUCUAUGAGGAAAUGACUCUACUUCUCUGUAGUGACCAGCAGGGGGCGACUCCUC
Long non-coding RNA from Gasterosteus aculeatus aculeatus (three-spined stickleback), 2440 nucleotides. The record is from Ensembl. NCBI's taxonomy places the organism in Eukaryota, Metazoa, Chordata, Actinopteri, Perciformes, Gasterosteidae.